ACGGGUGAGUAACACGUGGGAACGUACCUUUUGGUUCGGAAUAACGCAGGGAAACUUGUGCUAAUACCGAAUGUGCCCUUCGGGGGAAAGAUUUAUCGCCAUUAGAGCGGCCCGCGUUAGAUUAGCUAGUUGGUGAGGUAAAGGCUCACCAAGGCUACGAUCUAUAGCUGGUCUGAGAGGAUGAUCAGCCACAUUGGGACUGAGACACGGCCCAAACUCCUACGGGAGGCAGCAGUGGGGAAUCUUGCGCAAUGGGCGAAAGCCUGACGCAGCCAUGCCGCGUGAAUGAUGAGGGUCUUAGGAUUGUAAAAUUCUUUCAGUAGGGACGAUAAUGACGGUACCUACAGAAGAAGCCCCGGCUAACUUCGUGCCAGCAGCCGCGGUAAUACGAAGGGGGCUAGCGUUGCUCGGAAUUACUGGGCGUAAAGGGAGCGUAGGCGGGUUAUCAAGUUGGAGGUGAAAGCCCAGGGCUCAACCUUGGAAUUGCCUUCAAAACUGAUAGCCUAGAGUAUGAUAGAGGUAUGUGGAACCCCGAGUGUAGAGGUGAAAUUCGUAGA
This 557-nucleotide ribosomal RNA is filed under the name uncultured bacterium. RNAcentral describes it as "bacterial SSU rRNA". It matches the Rfam family "Bacterial small subunit ribosomal RNA", at positions 102 to 694 of the family's 1533-position model. The record is from RNAcentral.